GCACUCCUACGGGACGCAGCAGUGGGGGAUAUUGCACAAUGGGGGGAACCCUGAUGCAGCGACGCCGCGUGGGUGAAGAAGCGCCUCGGCGCGUAAAGCCCUGUCAGCAGGGAAGAAAAUGACGGUACCUGAAGAAGAAGCCCCGGCUAACUACGUGCCAGCAGCCGCGGUAAUACGUAGGGGGCAAGCGUUAUCCGGAUUUACUGGGUGUAAAGGGGGCGCAGACGGCGAUGCAAGCGAGGAGCGAA
RNAcentral lists this ribosomal RNA (248 nucleotides) under uncultured bacterium. RNAcentral's name for it is "partial 16S ribosomal RNA". It matches the Rfam family "Bacterial small subunit ribosomal RNA", at positions 333 to 598 of the family's 1533-position model. The record is from RNAcentral.